This 506-nucleotide ribosomal RNA is filed under the name uncultured bacterium. Its description in RNAcentral is "partial 16S ribosomal RNA". It matches the Rfam family "Bacterial small subunit ribosomal RNA", at positions 29 to 523 of the family's 1533-position model. The record is from RNAcentral.
AGUGAACGCUGGCGGUAGGCCUAACACAUGCAAGUCGAACGGCAGCACAGGAGAGCUUGCUCUCUGGGUGGCGAGUGGCGGACGGGUGAGGAAUACAUCGGAAUCUACUUUUUCGUGGGGGACAACGUAGGGAAACUUACGCUAAUACCGCAUACGACCAACGGGUGAAAGCAGGGGAUCUUCGGACCUUGCGCGAUUGAAUGAGCCGAUGUCGGAUUAGCUAGUUGGCGGGGUAAAGGCCCACCAAGGCGACGAUCCGUAGCUGGUCUGAGAGGAUGAUCAGCCACACUGGAACUGAGACACGGUCCAGACUCCUACGGGAGGCAGCAGUGGGGAAUAUUGGACAAUGGGCGCAAGCCUGAUCCAGCCAUACCGCGUGGGUGAAGAAGGCCUUCGGGUUGUAAAGCCCUUUUGUUGGGAAAGAAAUCCAGCUGGUUAAUACCCGAUUGGGAUGACGGUACCCAAAGAAUAAGCACCGGCUAACUUCGUGCCAGCAGCCGCCGUAA